Electrophorus electricus (electric eel) is the source of this 258-nucleotide non-coding RNA. NCBI's taxonomy places the organism in Eukaryota, Metazoa, Chordata, Actinopteri, Gymnotiformes, Gymnotidae. The record is from RefSeq and is a predicted model, not a curated record.
ACGUUGCGCUUCCGCCAGCGCGCGCACCGUCGGUAAAAAUGGCGAGCUUAUGUGCGCGUGCCGUGAGACAUCGCUGCUCGGUUUUAGCACGUCCUUUACUCCUGAGGGCGACGCCCCGCCUCCUCUGCACAGCGGCCCAGCAGAAGGGGGCGGGGUCAGAGGAGGAGAACGGCACGCGGAGGCCCGAGGCGACCGCUGCAGAGAAAGUCUCGGCUGAAGAGAAGACUCACCUGGAGGAGCAGCUGAAGGAAAUCACGG